AAUGAGUUGUUUUGUCGCUUUUAUUUAUAGACUUUAUGGGACUUUUUGUGUACACUUAAAAAGCUCUAUAAUCUCUACGGUGGUUUUAUCCACUACAGAAAUUAUAGAU
This 109-nucleotide non-coding RNA is filed under the name Streptococcus vestibularis. RNAcentral's name for it is "Streptococcus RNA 266". It matches the Rfam family "Streptococcus RNA 266". Lineage: Bacteria; Bacillati; Bacillota; Bacilli; Lactobacillales; Streptococcaceae. The record is from RNAcentral.